This 62-nucleotide transfer RNA is filed under the name Amynthas conformis. Its description in RNAcentral is "tRNA-Phe". Lineage: Eukaryota; Metazoa; Annelida; Clitellata; Crassiclitellata; Megascolecidae. The record is from RNAcentral.
AUUUAAGUAGCUUAAUUAAAGCACAUCUCUGAAGAAGAUAAGAURAGAGACCUCCUUAAAUA